GCUGGGUGUGGUGGUGUGUGCCUGUAGUCCCAGCUACUCAGGAGGCUGAGGCAGAAGAACUGCUUGAACCCAGGAGGCUGAGGUUCCAGUGAACCAAGAUGGUGCCACUGCACUCCAGCCUGGGUGACAGAGCAAGACUCAGUCUCUU
Molecule: non-coding RNA, 148 nt
Organism: Macaca mulatta (Rhesus monkey)
Lineage: Eukaryota; Metazoa; Chordata; Mammalia; Primates; Cercopithecidae
Source: Rfam